This 327-nucleotide ribosomal RNA is filed under the name uncultured eukaryote. RNAcentral describes it as "partial 18S ribosomal RNA". It matches the Rfam family "Eukaryotic small subunit ribosomal RNA", at positions 1470 to 1796 of the family's 1831-position model. The record is from RNAcentral.
CCCUUAGAUGUUCUGGGCCGCACGCGCGCUACACUGACGAAUGCAACGAGCUUAUAACCUUGGCCGAAAGGUCUGGGUAAUCUCCAAAUUUCGUCGUGAUGGGGAUAGAUUAUUGCAAUUAUUAAUCUUCAACGAGGAAUGCCUAGUAAGCGCAAGUCAUCAGCUUGCGUUGAUUACGUCCCUGCCCUUUGUACACACCGCCCGUCGCUCCUACCGAAUGAAUGGUCCGGUGAAGCGUUCGGACCGUGGCCUUUGGACGGUUCGCCGUCUGUUGGCUGCGGGAAGUUCGUUAAACCUUAUCAUUUAGAGGAAGGAGAAGUCGUAACA